Molecule: ribosomal RNA, 237 nt
Filed under: Escherichia coli
Lineage: Bacteria; Pseudomonadati; Pseudomonadota; Gammaproteobacteria; Enterobacterales; Enterobacteriaceae
Description: partial 16S ribosomal RNA
Rfam family: Bacterial small subunit ribosomal RNA
Source: RNAcentral
AUGGAGGGGGAUAACUACUGGAAACGGUAGCUAAUACCGCAUAACGUCGCAAGACCAAAGAGGGGGACCUUCGGGCCUCUUGCCAUCGGAUGUGCCCAGAUGGGAUUAGCUUGUUGGUGGGGUAACGGCUCACCAAGGCGACGAUCCCUAGCUGGUCUGAGAGGAUGACCAGCCACACUGGAACUGAGACACGGUCCAGACUCCUACGGGAGGCAGCAGUGGGGAAUAUUGCACAAU